AUGGGCGCAAGCCUGAUGGAGCACACCGCGUGAGUGAAGAAGGGUUUCGGCUCGUAAAGCUCUGUUGUUGGAGAAAACGUGCGUGAGAGUAACUGUUCACGCAGUGACGGUAUCCAACCAGAAAGUCACGGCUAACUACGUGCCAGCAGCCGCGGUAAUACGUAGGUGGCAAGCGUUAUUCGGAUUUAUUGGGCGUAAAGCGAGCGCAGGCGGUUGCUUAGGUCUGAUGUGAAAGCCUUCGGCUUAACCGAAGAAGGGCAUCGGAAACCGUGCGACUUGAGUGCAGAAGAGGACAGUGGAACUCCAUGUGUAGCGGUGGAAUGCGUAGAUAUAUGGAAGAACACCGGUGGCGAAGGCGGCUGUCUGGUCUGCAACUGACGCUGAGGCUCGAAAGCAUGGGUAGCGAACAGGAUUAGAUACCCUGGUAGUCCAUGCCGUAAACGAUGAGUGCUAGGUGUUGGAGGGUUUCCGCCCUUCAGUGCCGGAGCUAACGC
This 494-nucleotide ribosomal RNA is filed under the name Limosilactobacillus vaginalis. RNAcentral describes it as "bacterial SSU rRNA". It matches the Rfam family "Bacterial small subunit ribosomal RNA", at positions 371 to 858 of the family's 1533-position model. Lineage: Bacteria; Bacillati; Bacillota; Bacilli; Lactobacillales; Lactobacillaceae. The record is from RNAcentral.